AGUGAACGCUGGCGGUAGGCCUAACACAUGCAAGUCGAACGGCAGCACAGUAAGAGCUUGCUCUUACGGGUGGCGAGUGGCGGACGGGUGAGGAAUACAUCGGAAUCUACUUUUUCGUGGGGGAUAACGUAGGGAAACUUACGCUAAUACCGCAUACGACCUACGGGUGAAAGCAGGGGAUCUUCGGACCUUGCGCGAUUGAAUGAGCCUAUGUCGGAUUAGCUAAUUGGCGGGGUAAAGGCCCACCAAGGCGACGAUCCGUAGCUGGUCUGAGAGGAUGAUCAGCCACACUGGAACUGAGACACGGUCCAGACUCCUACGGGAGGCAGCAGUGGGGAAUAUUGGACAAUGGGCGCAAGCCUGAUCCAGCCAUACCGCGUGGGUGAAGAAGGCCUUCGGGUUGUAAAGCCCUUUUGUUGGGAAAGAAAAGCAGCAGGUUAAUACCCCGCUGUUCUGACGGUACCCAAAGAAUAAGCACCGGCUAACUUCGUG
This 492-nucleotide ribosomal RNA is filed under the name uncultured bacterium. RNAcentral describes it as "partial 16S ribosomal RNA". It matches the Rfam family "Bacterial small subunit ribosomal RNA", at positions 29 to 507 of the family's 1533-position model. The record is from RNAcentral.